RNAcentral lists this ribosomal RNA (492 nucleotides) under uncultured bacterium. RNAcentral describes it as "partial 16S ribosomal RNA". It matches the Rfam family "Bacterial small subunit ribosomal RNA", at positions 29 to 507 of the family's 1533-position model. The record is from RNAcentral.
AGUGAACGCUGGCGGUAGGCCUAACACAUGCAAGUCGAACGGCAGCACAGUAAGAGCUUGCUCUUACGGGUGGCGAGUGGCGGACGGGUGAGGAAUACAUCGGAAUCUACUUUUUCGUGGGGGAUAACGUAGGGAAACUUACGCUAAUACCGCAUAAGACCUACGGGUGAAAGCAGGGGAUCUUCGGACCUUGCGCGAUUGAAUGAGCCGAUGUCGGAUUAGCUAGUUGGCGGGGUAAAGGCCCACCAAGGCGGCGAUCCGUAGCUGGUCUGAGAGGAUGAUCAGCCACACUGGAACUGAGACACGGUCCAGACUCCUACGGGAGGCAGCAGUGGGGAAUAUUGGACAAUGGGCGCAAGCCUGAUCCAGCCAUACCGCGUGGGUGAAGAAGGCCUUCGGGUUGUAAAGCCCUUUUGUUGGGAAAGAAAAGCAGCAGGUUAAUACCCCGCUGUUCUGACGGUACCCAAAGAAUAAGCACCGGCUAACUUCGUG